AUGGCUCAGGAUUAACGCUGGCGGCAUGCCUAAUACAUGCAAGUCGAAUGGGAAGCUUGCUUUCCAUGGCGAACGGGUGAGUAACACGUAGGUAACCUGCCUUACGCUCGAGGAUAACCGUUGGAAACGACGGAUAAUACUGGAUAGGACAGAGGGUCGCAUGACUUUUUGUUUAAAAGCAAUGGCGUAUGAGGGGCCUGCGGUGCAUUAGCUAGUUGGUGAGGUAACGGCUCACCAAGGCGAUGAUGCAUAGCUGGACUGAGAGGUUGAACAGCCACAAUGGGACUGAGAACGGCCCAUACUCCUACGGGAGGCAGCAGUAGGGAAUUUUCGGCAAUGGGGGGAAAAACCCCCUGACCGAGCAAUGCCGCGUGAACGACGAAGUAUUUCGGUAUGUAAAGUUCUUUUAUUAGGAAAGAUAGUGACGGUACCUAAUGAAUAAGCUCCGGCUAACUACGUGCCAGCCGCUGC
RNAcentral lists this ribosomal RNA (471 nucleotides) under uncultured bacterium. Its description in RNAcentral is "bacterial SSU rRNA". It matches the Rfam family "Bacterial small subunit ribosomal RNA", at positions 19 to 518 of the family's 1533-position model. The record is from RNAcentral.